UGGAUUAAUACUCUAGGAUAGUGGACGUUACUCGCAGAAUAAGCACCGGCUAACUCUGUGCCAGCAGCCGCGGUAAUACAGAGGGUGCGAGCGUUAAUCGGAUUUACUGGGCGUAAAGCGUGCGUAGGCGGCUUUUUAAGUCGGAUGUGAAAUCCCUGAGCUUAACUUAGGAAUUGCAUUCGAUACUGGGAAGCUAGAGUAUGGGAGAGGAUGGUAGAAUUCCAGGUGUAGCGGUGUAAUGCGUAGAGAUCUGGAGGAAUACCGAUGGCGAAGGCAGCCAUCUGGCCUAAUACUGACGCUGAGGUACGAAAGCAUGGGGAGCAAACAGGAUUAGAUACCCUGGUAGUCCAUGCCGUAAACGAUGUCUACUAGCCGUUGGGGCCUUUGAGGCUUUAGUGGCGCAGCUAACGCGAUAAGUAGACC
This 423-nucleotide ribosomal RNA is filed under the name uncultured bacterium. RNAcentral describes it as "bacterial SSU rRNA". It matches the Rfam family "Bacterial small subunit ribosomal RNA", at positions 445 to 870 of the family's 1533-position model. The record is from RNAcentral.